This 352-nucleotide RNase P RNA is filed under the name marine eukaryotic metagenome. RNAcentral's name for it is "Bacterial RNase P class A". It matches the Rfam family "Bacterial RNase P class A". From Rfam's summary of the family: Ribonuclease P (RNase P) is a ubiquitous endoribonuclease, found in archaea, bacteria and eukarya as well as chloroplasts and mitochondria. The record is from RNAcentral.
AGUCGGCUAGACAAUCGCCGAAACUUCAGUGUUUCGGAGGAAAGUCCGGGCUCCCUUAGGCAGGACGCCAGGUAACGCCUGGAGGGUGCAAGCCCAUGGAAAGUGCCACAGAAAAUAUACCGCUGGUUUAGUCCAGUAAGGGUGAAAAGGUGCGGUAAGAGCGCACCGCGCGGGUGGUAACAUACCGCGGCACGGCAAACCCCGUCCGGAGCAAAACCAAAUAGGGGAGUGAAAGGAUCUAAUGCCUUAACCGUAUGCCUAAACGGACUCCCGGGUAGGUUGCUAGAGACAGUCGGUGACGGCUGUCCCAGAUGAAUGAUUGUCCACGACAGAACCCGGCUUACGGCCGGCU